AAAGGUAGCAUAAUCAAUAGUCUCUUAAUUGGUGACUUGUAUGAAAGAUUGGAUGAGAUAUAUACUGUCUCUAAUUAAUUUAUAGAAUUUAAUUUUUUAGUAAAAAAGCUAAAAUAAGUUUAAAAGACGAGAAGACCCUAUAGAGUUUAAUAAUUUAUUUAAUUAUUAUUAAUAUAUAAUUUUUAAAAUUAAAAUUAAAUAGAUUAUUUUGUUGGGGUGAUAGAAAAAUUAAAUUAACUUUUUUUUGUUAUUUACAUUAAUUUAUGAUUAAGUGAUCCAUUUAUAAUGAUUAAAAGAAAAAAUUACCUUAGGGAUAACAGCGUAAUUUUUUUUUUUAGUUCAAAUAGGAAAAAAAGUUUGCGACCUCGAUGUUGGAUUAA
RNAcentral lists this ribosomal RNA (380 nucleotides) under Papilio helenus helenus. RNAcentral's name for it is "partial 16S ribosomal RNA". The record is from RNAcentral. Lineage: Eukaryota; Metazoa; Arthropoda; Insecta; Lepidoptera; Papilionidae.